Molecule: ribosomal RNA, 207 nt
Filed under: uncultured bacterium
Lineage: Bacteria
Description: partial 16S ribosomal RNA
Rfam family: Bacterial small subunit ribosomal RNA
Source: RNAcentral
UGCGUAGGCGGCCUAUUAAGUUUGUCGUGAAAUCUCCCGGCUCAACUGGGAGGGUGCGGCGAAUACUGAUGGGCUUGGGGUGUGGGAGAGGAGAGUGGAAUUCCUGGUGUAGCGGUGAAAUGCGUAGAUAUCAGGAGGAACACCGGCGGUGUAGACGGCUCUCUGGACCAUAACUGACGCUGAGGCACGAAAGCGUGGUAGCAAACA